CUGAGCUGGGGCGCGGCCGCCUGUCUGCACAGACAGCACCAUGUCGCUCAUGGUCGUCAGCAUGGUGUGUGUUGGGUUCUUCUUGCUGCAGGGGGCCUGGCCACAUGAGGCUUUGAAGGUGGAGGAAGGCCAAGAUCCAUGAAUGCAGGUGGCCUAUAGAGGCUGGAAAAGUCAAGGAACUGAUUCUCCAGAGUCUCCAGAGGGAACAAAGCCCUGCGAGUCCACAGAAAACCUUCCCUCCUGGCCCACCCAGGUCCCCUGGUGAAAUCAGAAGAGACAGUCAUCCUGCAAUGUUGGUCAGAUGUCAGGUUUCAGCACUUCCUUCUGCACAGAGAAGGGAAGUUUAAGGACACUUUGCACCUCAUUGGAGAGCACCAUGAUGGGGUCUCCAAGGCCAACUUCUCCAUCGGUCCCAUGAUGCAAGACCUUGCAGGGACCUACAGAUGCUACGGUUCUGUUACUCACUCCCCCUAUCAGUUGUCAGCUCCCAGUGACCCUCUGGACAUCGUCAUCACAGGUCUAUAUGAGAAACCUUCUCUCUCAGCCCAGCCGGGCCCCACGGUUCUGGCAG
Molecule: unclassified non-coding RNA, 571 nt
Filed under: Homo sapiens (human)
Lineage: Eukaryota; Metazoa; Chordata; Mammalia; Primates; Hominidae
Description: killer cell immunoglobulin like receptor, two Ig domains and long cytoplasmic tail 3 (ENSG00000275658.5)
Source: RNAcentral